CGGUUCGGGCGCGAUGGUUUCCUUCGAGAUUGGGCCGGGGCGGGGGUCUGGGCUUUAGACGUUUCACAGUGUUUGGGGACCUGUUUGUAGAGGAUUAUUCCAGUGUGUCAGAUAAUCAGUAUGGAAAAGGGAAGAAAUUAAAGACCAAAGCUUUGGAGGCACCUGCUCCUAGAGAAUUCACCAAUUUAAGCGGCAUCAGAAAGCAGGGUGAAAACUUUUGUCUCAAUUCUCUUUUUCAGACUCUUCAUUUCACACCUGAAUUGAGAGAGUCAUUCUGAUGGAUUGGACUGCAUGUGGGAUUUCAGAGUGGUGUCUCUUGGCCUUGACUUCAUCCCCUCCAUAAAAAGAUAUCCCUGGCUCAUUCAUUAAUACCACCAUUAGAAAUUUUUGGCAUUAAUAAGCAGAUUCCUAAGGGUUUAAAACUUUUCCAAGUUUUAAUCUAGUGGAAGUUCAAGACCAACUUAAAAGAGAAAAGUAGCCUUAACAAGAGACUGAAGAAGACUGUUUGGUGGGCAGGGAGGUGGACUGGUCAUGGAGAGUACCACUGAGCAAGAACAGGGCUGAGAGCCCCAGGCCAUCUUCCUCUCUAGCAAAGGAGAUCACCGGCCAGGCACAUGGGUGACGUCUUAGUGUGGAUGGUGCACUCUUUGUAAGGCUUAACAUGGAUCCCGAUGCUUGUUGACCGGGAGGUGUAAUUUGGAAAGGGUCAGGACUAGCAGAGAACUGGGGGAGGGAAAUUCUGCAGCUUUUUGGAAUCAUAUUUUUUAGGAGUAGGGCUAGACUGGGUUCCAUUGUACUCCCAGAUCAAUGAGUACGGUGACGGUACACAGAAAGUAGUGGGAGAUGAUUGUGAAAAUCCUCCUUUUGUGCAGUUUUGAAAACUUUGAUAAUAAAAAGUUGAAAUAAAUAAUCUUGGCGGGAGGCAUGGGGUUUCCUGAUUAACAGAUAAAUUUGAGUUUGAAUUUGGAAUGAAGCCACAAUCUGAGACCAGUGGGGAAGCACGGAUCUUUUAUUGCUGUGUAAACUCAUCCAGCCUCCAGUUCUCCAGAACUGGAAGCUCUGCUCUGAACUGUAUAGACUGAACCUAAAUUCCUUCCAGCUGAACCCAGUAAUCAAUUCUAUUGAAACUCACCAAAAAUUGGCAAAGACUUAAAGUGUUUUUCUUUUUCCAUUGAAACUUCAUAUUCUCCUGGUGGCAGGCCAGGUGGCGCAAGCGGUUAAGUGCACGUGCUCCGCUGCAGUGAACCCGAGCGCACACCGAGGCACUGCUUGUCAAGCCAUGCUGUGGCGGCGUCCCCUAUAGGGUGGAGAAAGAUGGGCACGGAUAUUGGCCCAGGGCCAGUCUUCCUCAGCAAAAAGAGGAUGAUGGGCAGAUGUUAGCUCAGGGCAGAUCUUCUUCUUCAAAAAAGAAAAAUAUUCUCCUGAAUGAUGAUCUGCAAUACUUGUUGAAGUAUUUAAUUAUAUCCCCAAAUGUAAUUCCCCAGGACAGACUCAAGGAGAUUUUGUUCUAGGAGACUCUGAGGAAAAUGGCCUACCUGGGGCUUGAGACUCGGCAGACACACACACGUACACGCUCAAACACAUAUGCAUAACACACUCUAUCAUCAAGUGCUGUUUCCUUCUCAUUGGACAGAUAAGAUUCAGAUUACGACUCCUUCUCAAGCAAGGUAGAACACCUUGUGUGUGUGCCUUUCCAAAGAGCUAACCUGCCCAUCUGAAACAAGGCUGGAAAAAUAAACAGUGUGCAUAGGUCUUUUGAUGUAGGUUUACUUUUGUACUUACACUGUAUCCAAGGCUCUGUCGUAAAGGACCAUCUUUGAGAUCAGAAUGCCUCUUUGAGAAUUCCACUUACUUUAUGUUCAUAAAUGUAUGCAACAUUUCACAUAUAUAAAACCUUUAUACAUAUAUAUUC
Molecule: long non-coding RNA, 1912 nt
Organism: Diceros bicornis minor
Lineage: Eukaryota; Metazoa; Chordata; Mammalia; Perissodactyla; Rhinocerotidae
Exons: 3
Source: RefSeq, a predicted model, not a curated record